RNAcentral lists this ribosomal RNA (548 nucleotides) under uncultured bacterium. Its description in RNAcentral is "bacterial SSU rRNA". It matches the Rfam family "Bacterial small subunit ribosomal RNA", at positions 355 to 896 of the family's 1533-position model. The record is from RNAcentral.
UGGGGAAUUUUGGACAAUGGGCGCAAGCCUGAUCCAGCCAUGCCGCGUGCGGGAAGAAGGCCUUCGGGUUGUAAACCGCUUUUGUCAGGGAAGAAAAGGUUCUGGCUAAUACCUGGGACUCAUGACGGUACCUGAAGAAUAAGCACCGGCUAACUACGUGCCAGCAGCCGCGGUAAUACGUAGGGUGCAAGCGUUAAUCGGAAUUACUGGGCGUAAAGCGUGCGCAGGCGGUUAUGCAAGACAGAGGUGAAAUCCCCGGGCUCAACCUGGGAACUGCCUUUGUGACUGCAUGGCUAGAGUACGGUAGAGGGGGAUGGAAUUCCGCGUGUAGCAGUGAAAUGCGUAGAUAUGCGGAGGAACACCGAUGGCGAAGGCAAUCCCCUGGACCUGUACUGACGCUCAUGCACGAAAGCGUGGUGAGCAAACAGGAUUAGAUACCCUGGUAGUCCACGCCCUAAACGAUGUCAACUGGUUGUUGGGAGGGUUUCUUCUCAGUAACGUAGCUAACGCGUGAAGUUGACCGCCUGGGGAGUACGGCCGCAAGGUUG